Molecule: ribosomal RNA, 199 nt
Filed under: uncultured bacterium
Lineage: Bacteria
Description: partial 16S ribosomal RNA
Rfam family: Bacterial small subunit ribosomal RNA
Source: RNAcentral
ACGCUCGACACCUACGGGAGGCAGCAGUUGGGAAUAUUGGACAAUGGAGGAAACUCUGAUCCAGUGACGCCGCGUGAAGGAAGAAGGUCUUCGGAUUGUAAACUUAUUUUGUCAGGGAAGAAAAAUGACUGUACCUGAAGAAAAAGCACCGGCUAACUACGUGCCGGCAGUCGCGGUAAUCUGAGCGGGCUGGCAAGGC